This 450-nucleotide ribosomal RNA is filed under the name uncultured bacterium. RNAcentral describes it as "partial 16S ribosomal RNA". It matches the Rfam family "Bacterial small subunit ribosomal RNA", at positions 354 to 796 of the family's 1533-position model. The record is from RNAcentral.
GUGGGGGAUCUUCCGCAAUGGACGAAAGUCUGACGGAGCAACGCCGCGUGAGUGAAGAAGGUUUUCGGAUCGUAAAGCUCUUUCGUUAGGGACGAACGUGCUCUUUGUGAAUAAUGAGGAGUAAUGACGGUACCUAAAUAAGAAGCCACGGCUAACUACGUGCCAGCAGCCGCGGUAAUACGUAGGUGGCAAGCGUUGUCCGGAAUUAUUGGGCGUAAAGCGCGCGCAGGCGGGAUAUCACGUCUGUCUUAAAAGUGCGAGGCUCAACCUCGUGAGGGGACAGAAACUGGGAUUCUUGGGUGUCGGAGAGGAAAGUGGAAUUCCAAGUGUAGCGGUGAAAUGCGUAGAGAUUUGGAAGAACACCAGUGGCGAAGGCGACUUUCUGGACGAUGUCAGACGCUGAGGCGCGAAAGCUAGGGGAGCGAACAGGAUUAGAAACCCCUGUAGUCC